CCUUUGACGUUAGCGGCGGACGGGUGAGUAACACGUGGGUAACCUACCUAUAAGACUGGGAUAACUUCGGGAAACCGGAGCUAAUACCGGAUAAUAUUUCGAACCGCAUGGUUCGAUAGUGAAAGGUGGUUUUGCUAUCACUUAUAGAUGGACCCGCGCCGUAUUAGCUAGCUGGUAAGGUAACGGCUUACCAAGGCGACGAUACGUAGCCGACCUGAGAGGGUGAUCGGCCACACUGGAACUGAGACACGGUCCAGACUCCUACGGGAGGCAGCAGUA
This 279-nucleotide ribosomal RNA is filed under the name uncultured Staphylococcus sp. RNAcentral describes it as "partial 16S ribosomal RNA". It matches the Rfam family "Bacterial small subunit ribosomal RNA", at positions 83 to 355 of the family's 1533-position model. Lineage: Bacteria; Bacillati; Bacillota; Bacilli; Caryophanales; Staphylococcaceae. The record is from RNAcentral.